UCUUUCGGGAGUACACGACCGGCGCACGGGUGAGUAACGCGUAUGCAACCUGCCCUUAUCCGGGGGAUAGCCCGAAGAAAUUCGGAUUAAUACCCCAUAAUACGAUCAGGCCACCUGGCCUUUUGGUUAAAAUUCCGAUGGAUAAGGAUGGGCAUGCGUGACAUUAGGUAGUUGGUAGGGUAACGGCCUACCAAGCCCACGAUGUCUAGGGGGUCUAAAAGGAUGGUCCCCCACACUGGUACUGAGACACGGACCAGACUCCUACGGGAGGCAGCAGUGAGGAAUAUUGGUCAAUGGGCGCAAGCCUGAACCAGCCAUGCCGCGUGGAGGAUGACUGCCCUACGGGUUGUAAACUCCUUUUGAACGGGAAUAAAAACGGGUACUUGUACCGGCUUGAAUGUACCGUUCGAAUAAGCACCGGCUAACUCCGUGCCAGCAGCCGCGGUAAUACGGAGGGUGCAAGCGUUAUCCGGAUUUAAUAGGUUUAAAGGGUGCGUAGGCGGGCGUUUAAGUCAGUGGUGAAAUCCCGUGGCUCAACCACGGAACUGCCAUUGAUACUGAACGCCUUGAGUGCGGUUGAGGUAGGCGGAAUGCGUUGUGUAGCGGUGAAAUGCAUAGAUACAACGCAGAACACCAAUUGCGAAGGCAGCUUACUAAGCCGUAACUGACGCUGAUGCACGAAAGCGUGGGUAGCGAACAGGAUUAGAUACCCUGGUAGUCCACGCCGUAAACGAUGAUCACUAGUUGCAUGCGAUACACUGUAUGUGACCGAGCGAAAGUAUUAAGUGAUCCACCUGGGGAGUACGUUGGCAACAAUGAAACUCAAAGGAAUUGACGGGGGCCCGCACAAGCGGUGGAACAUGUGGUUUAAUUCGAUGAUACGCGAGGAACCUUACCCGGGCUUAAAUGGGGGGUGCAUUAGGUGGAAACACUUAUUUCCUUCGGGACUCCCCUCAAGGUGCUGCAUGGUUGUCGUCAGCUCGUGCCGUGAGGUGUCGGGUUAAGUCCCAUAACGAGCGCAACCCUUGCCGUUAGUUGCCAGCGGGUCAUGCCGGGGACUCUAGCGGGACUGCCACCGUAAGGUGAGAGGAAGGUGGGGAUGACGUCAAAUCAGCACGGCCCUUACGUCCGGGGCUACACACGUGUUACAAUGGCAGGUACAGAGGGCAGCUACAUGGCAACAUGGUGCGAAUCUCGAAAGCCUGUCUCAGUUCGGAUCGGGGUCUGCAACUCGACCCCGUGAAGCUGGAAUCGCUAGUAAUCGCGUAUCAGCAACGACGCGGUGAAUACGUUCCCGGGCCUUGUACACGCCGCCCGUCAAACCAUGGAAGCCGGGGGUACCUGAAGUCCGUCACCGUAAGGAUCGGCCUAGGGUAAAUCUGGUAACUGGGGUUAAGUCGUAACAAGGUA
This 1410-nucleotide ribosomal RNA is filed under the name metagenome. RNAcentral's name for it is "bacterial SSU rRNA". It matches the Rfam family "Bacterial small subunit ribosomal RNA". The record is from RNAcentral.